Non-coding RNA from Camellia sinensis, 742 nucleotides. The record is from RefSeq and is a predicted model, not a curated record. Lineage: Eukaryota; Viridiplantae; Streptophyta; Magnoliopsida; Ericales; Theaceae.
AUCCAUAGUUGGAGGAUAUGGGAAGUUGAGGCUUAUUUGGAACAGCAUGAAUUAUUAACUGGGAAGGAUAAUCAACAUAGCAUCAAUUGUUGGUCUUGUUGGUAACAUUGGGCAAACCAAUUGUAGUGCUGCAAAGGCAGGGGUACUUGGCCUCACAAAAACCGUGGCAAGGGAAUAUGCGAGUAGGAAUAUUAAUGCAGUGCGACAUGGUAGAGCUCUUGUGCGAGUAUCAUUCAACAGUAAUCUGCAGAAGUCGGACUACAUUAUGGUAACGGCUGAUUUAUACCCUCAGAAUCCAGUCCUCCGCCUUGGAAGUCAGCUCAACUUCAGCAGACGGGUAGUUGGGUAACUAUUUUAUCAUUUUGAAUAUUUGCCAUUGUUAAAAUUUCUCUUCAGGUGCUCGCCACUGCAUAAUGUUAGCAGACCAUGGGAACAAUCCUCUGAUCAGUUUUCUCAGUACCCAGCUACCAUGUUAUUGACAGCUGAUCAUGAUGAUCGGGUUGUGCCAUUACACUCAUUAAAGUUAUUAGCGGUGAGUCUUUAAUUGCUACAAUUAUGUUUUACUUCCUAUGUUAUUUGCUUUGAUUUGCCCUGCAUCUGAACAUUGAAUUGUCUAGUUUCUUGCUCAAGUUUUGUCAAUGAGGUUCACCUCUUAAAUGUUAUAAUAUUUAUCCACCUUCUUGUCAGGACAUAAGAAGAUAAUAAAUUGAAUGGCUUAAUCACAAUAUAUGAUUAUCCUCGU